CAACUUAAGAGUUUGAUCCUGGCUCAGAAUGAACGCUGGCGGCAGGCCUAAAACAUGCAAGUCGAACGCUGUAGCAAUACAGAGUGGCGCACGGGUGAGUAACAUGUGGGAAUAUGCCUUUUGGUACGGAACAACGUUUGGAAACGAACGCUAAUACCGUAUGGUCCCUUCGGGGUAAAGAUUUAUCGCCAAAAGAUUAGCCCGCACUAGAUUAGCUAGUUGGUGAGGUAAGAGCUCACCAAGGCGACGAUCUAUAGCUGGUCUGAGAGGACGAUCAGCCACACUGGGACU
This 291-nucleotide ribosomal RNA is filed under the name bacterium. RNAcentral describes it as "partial 16S ribosomal RNA". It matches the Rfam family "Bacterial small subunit ribosomal RNA", at positions 1 to 320 of the family's 1533-position model. The record is from RNAcentral.